UACGGAGGGUGCAAGCGUUAUCCGGAUUUACUGGGUUUAAAGGGUGCGUAGGCGGCGCGGUAAGUCGGGUGUGAAAUCUCGGGGCUUAACUCCGAAACUGCAUUCGAUACUGCCGUGCUUGAGGACUGGAGAGGAGACUGGAAUUUACGGUGUAGCGGUGAAAUGCGUAGAUAUCGUAAGGAAGACCAGUGGCGAAGGCGGGUCUCUGGACAGUUCCUGACGCUGAGGCACGAAGGUCAGGGGAGCAAACGGG
This 253-nucleotide ribosomal RNA is filed under the name uncultured bacterium. RNAcentral describes it as "partial 16S ribosomal RNA". It matches the Rfam family "Bacterial small subunit ribosomal RNA", at positions 524 to 776 of the family's 1533-position model. The record is from RNAcentral.